This is a long non-coding RNA of Ictalurus punctatus (channel catfish), 893 nucleotides long. NCBI's taxonomy places the organism in Eukaryota, Metazoa, Chordata, Actinopteri, Siluriformes, Ictaluridae. The record is from Ensembl.
GAGGAAAUGCAGAUUGAUGGGUUUUGUCCGAUGAUAUUGCUUCAGACUAAAAUUAGCAACUUAAUCAGCAGCCGGAAAAGGAGUAACUUCGCUGAUCACGUGUGUUCUUAUGUAAUAUGAUGAUAAGCACGUUUUCUAAGUUUUCCUCACGUGCUUUUCAUGUUUUUUUUUUUUUUUUGUUUUGUUUUUCUGUCAUCACAAGCUCAUGAUUUUGGGUCGGGAUGGAUCCGAAGCCUGUCCCCGGAACUCUGGGCACAAAGCGGAUACGCACCUUUUAUGGGGUGCUAGUCCAUUACAGGUCCAUACUUGUAAAUGCAAUGACUAGACAGGGACAGGAGGAUGAUGUUAUCACCAGCUGAGCUGAAGAAGAAGAAUAAAAAAGAAGAGCUGUAAACACUUAAUCAUUGGCACCCUGUCCAGGGUGUACCCCGCCUUGUGCCCCAUGCUCCCUGGGAUAGGCUCCAGGUUUCCCCAUGUCCCUGAAAUGGAUAAGCGGUAUAGAAGAUGGAUGGAUGGAUGGAUGGAUGGUUCUCUACAGCAUGUGCCUAAGACUUUUCCACAGUACUGUAUAUCUAGAGCUCAUAUGCUUGUAAUUAGCUGAUAUUCUAGCAGGCUUUAACUAGCUAUCAAAUAAAGUGCAAUGUUAUGUUUGGUUUUAUUUGACACCUAUUUUUGUACACUGUCCCAAACAAUACGUAAUGGAAGUCUUAUUCACAACAGUUACUUGUCAAAAACAACUAGGUCACGUGAGCAUUUAUGAUUCAGCCAGUAAGGGGUGAGCGGGCAGGUCAAACUGGUUAAGCAUUUACCCAGAUUAUUUCAUUAUAGGACAUAAGCUGACUUUCUUUUGUUUUUAUAAUUGUGUGUCGUCAGAGGCAGCUGUAACAUACGUC